UUGAACGCUGGCGGCAGGCCUAACACCUGCAAGUCGAACGGUAACAGGAAGCAGCUUGCUGCUUUGCUGACGAGUGGCGGACGGGUGAGUAAUGUCUGGGAAACUGCCUGAUGGAGGGGGAUAACUACUGGAAACGGUAGCUAAUACCGCAUAACGUCGCAAGACCAAAGAGGGGGACCUUAGGGCCUCUUGCCAUCGGAUGUGCCCAGAUGGGAUUAGCUAGUAGGUGGGGUAACGGCUCACCUAGGCGACGAUCCCUAGCUGGUCUGAGAGGAUGACCAGCCACACUGGAACUGAGACACGGUCCAGACUCCUACGGGAGGCAGCAGUGGGGAAUAUUGCACAAUGGGCGCAAGCCUGAUGCAGCCAUGCCGCGUGUAUGAAGAAGGCCUUCGGGUUGUAAAGUACUUUCAGCGGGGAGGAAGGGAGUAAAGUUAAUACCUUUGCUCAUUGACGUUACCCGCAGAAGAAGCACCGGCUAACUCCGUG
Molecule: ribosomal RNA, 489 nt
Filed under: uncultured bacterium
Lineage: Bacteria
Description: partial 16S ribosomal RNA
Rfam family: Bacterial small subunit ribosomal RNA
Source: RNAcentral